RNAcentral lists this ribosomal RNA (378 nucleotides) under Acanthoscelides obtectus. RNAcentral's name for it is "partial 12S ribosomal RNA". Lineage: Eukaryota; Metazoa; Arthropoda; Insecta; Coleoptera; Chrysomelidae. The record is from RNAcentral.
CGGGCGAUGUGUACAUAUUUUAGAGCUUUAAUCAUCUUAAAAAAAUCUAAAAAAUUACUCUCAAAUCCAAAUUCAAAUUUUUUUAACAAAAAUUAUUUUAAAAUAAAUUUAUUGUAACCCAUUUCUUCUUUAUUAUAAACUACACCUUGAUCUGAUUUAUUUUUUAAUAAAAAAUUUUAAAUAUUUAUAAUUCUAUUAAAAUAUUUAAACUACGACGAUAUAUAAACUAAUAAAUAAAGUGCAUCUAAUCGUGGACUAUCGAUUAUAGAACAGGUUCCUCUGAAAAGACUAAAAUACCGCCAAAUUUUUUAAUUUUCAAGAACAUAACUAAUACUAAUUAAGUAAAAAAAUUUACAUUUUUAAUAAUAGGGUAUCUAA